This 494-nucleotide long non-coding RNA is filed under the name Nicotiana benthamiana. RNAcentral's name for it is "long non-coding RNA (NBEN_LNC011464)". The record is from RNAcentral. Lineage: Eukaryota; Viridiplantae; Streptophyta; Magnoliopsida; Solanales; Solanaceae.
CUUUAGUAUAAACAAAAGUAUAUCUCAAUAAUAACUUACGAUUAUUUGGCAUGUAUAAUAUUUUCCAUCUUCAUCGGUUUGUCAUUUAUCAAAACCUAUACAUAUGAACACAUUAGUUUUAACAACAUAAUAAAUGUGUUCUAACAAUUUCCCCCCUUUUGAUAAUGGCACACCUAUAUGGGGAUAUGUAUUAAAAAAAUGUUAUAGGAUAAUUAUGCCAAAUACAAGAUAAGUUAUAAUUGAGUUCCCCCUCAAUUUUUGCCAAAGUAAUUUAAAAAUUAUCAAAAUACUAAAAAUUUAAAUAAUGCACAAAAAUACAUAUACCCUUCUCUUCCCCCUUUUGACAUUAACAAAAAGGCAAUUUUAUUGAUGAAAGGAAAGAGUACAAAACAAUUUCAACAAAAAAUACAUUUAAAAAUCAUCAUCAAAUUCGUUGCUUGAAUCAUUGGAAGAGUGGACUUGAGUGUAGGGGUAGUUGACAUGGUCAAAGUACC